RNAcentral lists this ribosomal RNA (505 nucleotides) under uncultured bacterium. Its description in RNAcentral is "partial 16S ribosomal RNA". It matches the Rfam family "Bacterial small subunit ribosomal RNA", at positions 28 to 507 of the family's 1533-position model. The record is from RNAcentral.
GACGAACGCUGGCGGCGUGCCUAAUACAUGCAAGUAGAACGCACAGUUUAUACCGUAGCUUGCUACACCAUAGACUGUGAGUUGCGAACGGGUGAGUAACGCGUAGGUAACCUGCCUGGUAGCGGGGGAUAACUAUUGGAAACGAUAGCUAAUACCGCAUAAUAUUAAUUAUUGCAUGAUAAUUAAUUGAAAGGUGCAAUUGCACCACUACCAGAUGGACCUGCGUUGUAUUAGCUAGUAGGUGAGGUAACGGCUCACCUAGGCGACGAUACAUAGCCGACCUGAGAGGGUGAUCGGCCACACUUGGACUGAGACACGGCCCAGACUCCUACGGGAGGCAGCAGUAGGGAAUCUUCGGCAAUGGACGAAAGUCUGACCGAGCAACGCCGCGUGAGGGAAGAAGGUUUUCGGAUCGUAAAGCUCUGUUGUAAGAGAAGAACGGGUGUGAGAGUGGAAAGUUCACACUGUGACGGUAUCUUACCAGAAAGGGACGGCUAACUACGUG